Molecule: ribosomal RNA, 399 nt
Filed under: uncultured eukaryote
Lineage: Eukaryota
Description: partial 18S ribosomal RNA
Rfam family: Eukaryotic small subunit ribosomal RNA
Source: RNAcentral
CAAUAGCGUAUAUUAAUGUUGUUGCAGUUAAAAAGCUCGUAGUUGGAUUUCUGGUGGGAGCGGUUGGUCUGCCCCGCGAGGGGUAGUAACUGAGCCGUAUCCGGCCCUUUUCGGGUUGAUCGUGGCCGGCAUUAAUUUGUCGGUGCGGGAGGCCCGUCGUUUACUGUGAACAAAUUAGAGUGUUCAAAGCAAAGUGUUUUUGAAUAUAUCAGCAUGGAAUAAUGAGAUAGGACUUUGGUGGUUCGUGCUCUCGGGUACGAUAUUUUGUUGGUUUGCACGCCAAAGUAAUGAUUAAUAGGAGCAGUUGGGGGUAUUCGUAUUCAAUUGUCAGAGGUGAAAUUCUUGGAUUUCUAGAAGACGAACUACUGCGAAAGCAUUUACCAAGGAUGUUUUCAUUAA